GUGUGAUUUCGACAGGCAUAACCAAGAUGGUGACGGAUGCUCUGCUGUGGUUUAGAGUUCUGUCCAUGUCUCGAGACGCUCCUUCCUGUCCAGGGCCUCGGAGGCAGGUGUGGGCGGUCCUCAACCCAAAGUUCCACAUUCAAGAUGGAGUCGGUGGUUUUCCGCUGAAAGCAAAGCGAUGGUUUCCUGUUCAGACGGCAGUUUUGCGGCAUUGCUGUUGCCGCCACUGCUGAUGCUGCUGCUUGUGUUCUUGCUUCUUCUUCAUUGUCAACAUCAACAUCAUCAGUAAAAAGAGUUUGCAUCAUGGCUGUAGCUGUGACACUGAUGACCUUGGGGAUCCUGUGUUUCACCUCAAAUACCCAAGAGUCUGAAAACGUCCCGGUGAACUUCAUGGAGCACAUCGAUGCUGCUGUGGGGGAAAACGUGAGCCUGCCAUGUGUGUUAAAUAGCUCUGAUGACAUUGUGGUCCAGAUUGAGUGGAAGAAAAUGGAGGGGAAAAGUGAGAGCAAGUUGCUGGUCUACAACCCUAUAAAGGAUAAAGUGUCGAAGAUCAGAGCCAACGUUUCACUGAAGACAGAAAAGAUCAAUGGUGAACUGAGUGGAUCCCAUCUAUUGCUGCCCACAGUGGACUUGUGGGACAGUGGACAGUACGUGUGUGAACUCAACACCUUCCCUCUAGGGUCCAUCAAGAGAGUGAUGCAGCUGCUGGUAACAGACGUCCCAGAUCCUGACUCUCCCCCUGAGCUUCAGCUGUCUGCCAGUGUGAUGGGACAUGGUCAGGGAGUGAGGGAAGGUGACCAGCUGAAGAUCCUAUGUACCAGCAGCCCUCCAGCAGACCACUACACCCUCUGGCCUUCAGAAAACAACAAAUCCCUUCAGAUAAGCCACGAUGGGGUUUUCAUAUUUUCAAACGUGACGAGGAAUAACAGCGGUUUGUACACUUGCCAGCCAAAGUGGGAUGUGUCCACUCAUCCUUUCCAAGGUCGUUACACCACGGUCAUGGUCACAAUCCAUUGUGAGUGUUUUCCUGUCUCAGUCAGACACACUUCUGUUGGAAUUGUUUCCCUCAGUCAGUUGACUCAUCCGCAUGAUGUUAC
Molecule: long non-coding RNA, 1097 nt
Filed under: Scleropages formosus (Asian bonytongue)
Lineage: Eukaryota; Metazoa; Chordata; Actinopteri; Osteoglossiformes; Osteoglossidae
Description: lncRNA (ENSSFOG00015026597.1)
Source: RNAcentral